GGAGACGUGGCCGAGUGGCUUAAGGCAUCCAUUUGCUAAAUGGACUUCUUCCUUCGGAAGAACAUAGGUUCGAAUCCUGUCGUUUCCG
This 88-nucleotide transfer RNA is filed under the name Marsupiomonas sp. NIES 1824. Its description in RNAcentral is "tRNA-Ser". It matches the Rfam family "tRNA". From Rfam's summary of the family: Transfer RNA (tRNA) molecules are approximately 80 nucleotides in length. Their secondary structure includes four short double-helical elements and three loops (D, anti-codon, and T loops). The record is from RNAcentral. Lineage: Eukaryota; Viridiplantae; Chlorophyta; Pedinophyceae; Marsupiomonadales; Marsupiomonadaceae.